This 414-nucleotide ribosomal RNA is filed under the name uncultured prokaryote. RNAcentral describes it as "bacterial SSU rRNA". It matches the Rfam family "Bacterial small subunit ribosomal RNA", at positions 505 to 918 of the family's 1533-position model. The record is from RNAcentral.
GUGUCAGCAGCCGCGGUAAUACAGAGGGUGCAAGCGUUAAUCGGAAUUACUGGGCGUAAAGCGCGCGUAGGUGGUUUGUUAAGUUGGAUGUGAAAGCCCCGGGCUCAACCUGGGAACUGCAUCCAAAACUGGCAAGCUAGAGUAUGGUAGAGGGUGGUGGAAUUUCCUGUGUAGCGGUGAAAUGCGUAGAUAUAGGAAGGAACACCAGUGGCGAAGGCGACCACCUGGACUGAUACUGACACUGAGGUGCGAAAGCGGGGGGAGCAAACAGGAUUAGAUACCCUGGUAGUCCACGCCGUAAACGAUGUCGACUAGCCGUUGGGAGCCUUGAGCUCUUAGUGGCGCAGCUAACGCAUUAAGUCGACCGCCUGGGGAGUACGGCCGCAAGGUUAAAACUCAAAUGAAUUGACGGGG